RNAcentral lists this ribosomal RNA (725 nucleotides) under uncultured bacterium. RNAcentral's name for it is "bacterial SSU rRNA". It matches the Rfam family "Bacterial small subunit ribosomal RNA", at positions 51 to 787 of the family's 1533-position model. The record is from RNAcentral.
ACACAUGCAAGUCGAACGGACUUACAUUGAAGCCUAGCGAUAUGUAAGUUAGUGGCGGACGGGUGAGUAACGCGUGGGUAACCUGCCUUGUACUGGGGGACAACAGUUGGAAACGACUGCUAAUACCGCAUAAGCGCACAGCUUCGCAUGAAGCAGUGUGAAAAACUCCGGUGGUACAAGAUGGACCCGCGUCUGAUUAGCUGGUUGGUGAGGUAACGGCCCACCAAGGCGACGAUCAGUAGCCGGCCUGAGAGGGUGAACGGCCACAUUGGGACUGAGACACGGCCCAAACUCCUACGGGAGGCAGCAGUGGGGAAUAUUGCACAAUGGGGGAAACCCUGAUGCAGCAACGCCGCGUGAGUGAAGAAGUAUUUCGGUAUGUAAAGCUCUAUCAGCAGGAAAGAAAAUGACGGUACCUGACUAAGAAGCCCCGGCUAACUACGUGCCAGCAGCCGCGGUAAUACGUAGGGGGCAAGCGUUAUCCGGAUUUACUGGGUGUAAAGGGAGCGUAGACGGUUUUGCAAGUCUGAAGUGAAAGCCCGGGGCUUAACCCCGGGACUGCUUUGGAAACUGUAGAACUAGAGUGCAGGAGAGGUAAGUGGAAUUCCUAGUGUAGCGGUGAAAUGCGUAGAUAUUAGGAGGAACACCAGUGGCGAAGGCGGCUUACUGGACUGUAACUGACGUUGAGGCUCGAAAGCGUGGGGAGCAAACAGGAUUAGAUACCC